AGGGCGGCAUGGCGGGUGUGGGCCAAGUGGACUUUAACAUGGGUGGGGUCCAUGUCCAGAGGUUUGAUAUUACUCACUUAAAUGAUAUUAAACUGGAAGUAGGGUUUGGAAAAUUGGGAGGGGAGGCUGGGAAGGGAGAGAGAGCAUAAGAAUGCAGACUCCAGAAAAUAGAGGCACAGCCCUGAAUCCGUGCACUUGACUUCAAAUAGGUUCCGUUUAUAAAGAACAUGCACUGAUGCUUUAUGUGCCCGAGUCACAGGCUCAGUCACUCAACAAAUAUUUACUGAGCACCAAUUUAGGGUCGGGCUCUGUUCCAAGGACUAGAGAACAAGACAGAUGGAAUCUGGGGGAAGCUUACAUUCUAGUGAAGGGAGACAGAUCACAAAAAAGUAAAGAAAUAACGGGAUCAAGUGAUAGACUGGAGAAGGAGAAACUUGAGCUGACAUCCGAGUGUCAGGAAGGAACCAACUGUGGGAAAUGCUGGUAAAGACAACGCAGGAAGGGAGAAGGGUAGAAGAUUCUAAUUCUUCUCACCAUCUGCCCUGCUCCAAUCCUAGUUCAAGUCACUGCCAGCUACUUCUCAAACACAGAGAAAGUCCGCAGACACACCUCUCCCACCUCUACUCUUACCCUGCUCCCCUCCCAGCAACGAGAGGAUUUCUUAGUUGUAAGUUAUCAAAACCAGCCUGGCCUAGCCUGCCCACCCCUGACUACACCAAUAGCUGGAAAGAGGAAAGACACAGCUUCUCAACUCAUACUGGGAGGCAGAUACCUGGAAUUAUGCACCCACCAAGACUACAUGCAGUGGGAGAGAUGUGGUUCCCCCAAAGAAGACGAGUCUGCUCUCAGGAUUCCGGGCAACAGUAAGCAACGUCCAGUAUAUUGUGUAACCUUACUAAAACUCUCUGAACCUCAGUCCCCUCAUAUUUAAUACCUACCUCUCAGAAUUAUAAGAAUUAAACAAAAUAGGGGCGCCUGGGGGACUCAGUCGAUGAAGCAUCUGACUCUUGGUAUUGGCUCAGGUCUUGAUCUCAUGGUUCGUGAGUUCUGGCCCCGCAAGACCCUCUGAGCUGAUGGUGCAGAGCCUGCUUGGGAAUGUUUCUCUCCUUCUCUCUGCCCCUCACUUGCUCGUGCUCUCUCUCUCUCUAUCAAAAUAAGUAAACUUAAAAUAUUUAAGAAUUAAACAAAAUAGCUCCUCUAAUGAAAAUUUAGAGUGCUUAGAGCAUAAAUAUUAUUUUAUAAAAUUUCUCUUUUCCUUUUCCUUUUGGC
This 1269-nucleotide long non-coding RNA is filed under the name Felis catus (domestic cat). RNAcentral's name for it is "lncRNA (ENSFCAG00000044706.2)". The record is from RNAcentral. Lineage: Eukaryota; Metazoa; Chordata; Mammalia; Carnivora; Felidae.